Molecule: ribosomal RNA, 464 nt
Filed under: uncultured bacterium
Lineage: Bacteria
Description: partial 16S ribosomal RNA
Rfam family: Bacterial small subunit ribosomal RNA
Source: RNAcentral
GACGAACGCUGGCGGCGUGCUUAACACAUGCAAGUCGAACGGAAAGGCCCUGCUUGCAGGGUACUCGAGUGGCGAACGGGUGAGUAACACGUGGGUGAUCUGCCCUGCACUUCGGGAUAAGCCUGGGAAACUGGGUCUAAUACCGGAUAGGAGCCAUUUUUAGUGUGAUGGUUGGAAAGUUUUUUCGGUGUAGGAUGAGCUCGCGGCCUAUCAGCUUGUUGGUGGGGUAAUGGCCUACCAAGGCGGCGACGGGUAGCCGGCCUGAGAGGGUGGACGGCCACAGGGGGACUGAGGUACGCCCGAGCCCCCAGCGGGGGGAAGGGGGGGGAAAUAUGGAACAAGGGGCGCAAGCCUAGUGCGGCGACGCCGGGUGGGGGAUACGGUCCUUCGGUUUUAAAACCCUUUUCGCAGGGAACGAACCUUUGGGGACGUGCCCUAGAAAAGAAGCCCGGGCUAACUACGGC